GACGAACGCUGGCGGCGUGCUUAACACAUGCAAGUCGAACGGAAAGGCCCUGCUUUUGUGGGGUGCUCGAGUGGCGAACGGGUGAGUAACACGUGAGUAACCUGCCCUUGACUUUGGGAUAACUCCAGGAAACUGGGGCUAAUACCGGAUAGGAGCUCCUGCUGCAUGGUGGGGGUUGGAAAGUUUCGGCGGUUGGGGAUGGACUCGCGGCUUAUCAGCUUGUUGGUGGGGUAGUGGCUUACCAAGGCUUUGACGGGUAGCCGGCCUGAGAGGGUGACCGGCCACAUUGGGACUGAGAUACGGCCCAGACUCCUACGGGAGGCAGCAGUGGGGAAUAUUGCACAAUGGGCGGGAGCCUGAUGCAGCAACGCCGCGUGCGGGAUGACGGCCUUCGGGUUGUAAACCGCUUUCGCCUGUGACGAAGCGUGAGUGACGGUAAUGGGUAAAGAAGCACCGGCUAACUACGUG
Molecule: ribosomal RNA, 468 nt
Filed under: uncultured bacterium
Lineage: Bacteria
Description: partial 16S ribosomal RNA
Rfam family: Bacterial small subunit ribosomal RNA
Source: RNAcentral